UUCCUGGUAGUCCAGUGGUUAAGACUCUGCAUUCCUAAUUCAGGGGACCAGGUCUGAUCCCUGGUCGAGAAA
This 72-nucleotide transfer RNA is filed under the name Bos taurus (domestic cattle). It matches the Rfam family "tRNA". Rfam says of the family: Transfer RNA (tRNA) molecules are approximately 80 nucleotides in length. Their secondary structure includes four short double-helical elements and three loops (D, anti-codon, and T loops). RNAcentral also lists the same sequence under 5 other names. Lineage: Eukaryota; Metazoa; Chordata; Mammalia; Artiodactyla; Bovidae. The record is from Rfam by way of RNAcentral.